CUCUUAGAAGCCCAAGCACAGAGUUCAGAGAAAUGUGAGCACCUGUAUGAAGAGAAGAUGGGUACAAAGGAAUGAGUGGGGGUUCCUCUUCACCAUCCCUAAAACUGUGGCAGUAUUUAGCAGCAUCAUUGAUGAGGCUGGUCUCAGAACUGUGCAAACAUCUGCCCUGCCUGGCCUCUCAAUGAAAAACUUCUACCUCUUAACAGGUAUUUCCACCAACUCGCUGGCCACCUCCCUGUUACAGUGUAAGUCGUACUUCUUUGUCCUUUUCUGGAAAUCACGAAUGUGAAUGUCAUUUGCAGCAUGCAUUCGUGUAGUGGAUGGAAGUUCUCCACGGACCAGGCUUUCUUCAAGGCAAUGGGGAGCCACGGAAAUCUUUGAAGCAGAGGAGUGUCCUAUUCAGAACUCUUCUAUGAAAUGAUUAUUGUGCAGCAGGGUGGAAGCUGGAUUAACAGGAGAAACACUGGAGGCAAGGAAAUUCAAUUUAAAGUCUACUGCAAGAGCGCCUUGACACCAACAUGACCCUGACCGACAUUUUCCUUUUUCGUCAUGGCUGUACUUUUCCAUUUAAAUAAGAUGCAAGCCCAUUUCCAUGGGGAUUCCAGGAAGUCUGGAAGGGAGUGAUAAAUGGGAAUGUCAUCUUUGUAUCACAUCACCCCGAAGGACUUUGCUGUGACAGUUGUAAUGUGGUGCCCGGAAGGGUGAAGGAACCACAUAAAGUGCCCAGAGCAGAUGGCUGAUGGCCGGCUCCUCACUGGUGCAUGCCCAGUCUCCCCAGCCCCCAAGUCCCUCACCCCUAGCUGGAUUCCUGUCCUACCACAGGAGACUUGGAGCUUCC
Molecule: long non-coding RNA, 838 nt
Organism: Pan troglodytes (chimpanzee)
Lineage: Eukaryota; Metazoa; Chordata; Mammalia; Primates; Hominidae
Exons: 5
Source: RefSeq, a predicted model, not a curated record